AUGCUGAUACAGUACCAGAUACGCAUCUUCGUGCAGCGUUCGGCCUCUGUUUCGCCCUCCCCUCUUCGCAGCUGUCACCGGCGGCUACUCUCUCCCCGCAUGGCGUCGCCUCCUCCGCCGGCUCCCGCCGCCGCGGCCGCCCACAGCGUGUUCGUCUACGGCACCCUGAUGGCGGAGGAGGUCGUGCGCGUCCUCCUCGGCCGCGUCCCGCCGUCCUCCCCCGCGCUCCUCCCCAACCACCAGAGGCUCAGCAUCAGGGGCCGCGUCUACCCGGCGAUCCUGCCCGUCGACGGCAGCAAAGUCCCCGGGAAGGUUUGGCAGGGGAUCACUGACAGGGAGCUCGAUGUGCUGGACAUCUUUGAGGAUGAGGAGUAUGUCAGGGAAACUGUUGGCAUCUCGCUGGCCGAUUCGGCGGAUAUGAUCGCCUAUGCAUAUAUAUGGGGGAAUGUGGAUGAUCCUGACCUCUAUGGGGAAUGGGAUUUUGAUGAAUGGAAGAAAGUGCAUCUGAAGGACUAUAUUACAAUGACACAAGAUUUCAGGGAGGAACUGGAACAGCUUGAAUCUGAGACACAUGAUUGA
RNAcentral lists this ribosomal RNA (579 nucleotides) under Triticum aestivum (bread wheat). RNAcentral's name for it is "partial small subunit ribosomal RNA". The record is from RNAcentral. Lineage: Eukaryota; Viridiplantae; Streptophyta; Magnoliopsida; Poales; Poaceae.